Podarcis lilfordi (Lilford's wall lizard) is the source of this 70-nucleotide non-coding RNA. The record is from the annotation of a GenBank genome assembly. Lineage: Eukaryota; Metazoa; Chordata; Lepidosauria; Squamata; Lacertidae.
GGUUAUGGCUCAGUGGUAGAGCACCUGCUUUGCAUGCAGAAAGUUCCAAGUUCAAUCCCUGGCAUGGUCA